This 220-nucleotide ribosomal RNA is filed under the name Vibrio parahaemolyticus. Its description in RNAcentral is "partial 16S ribosomal RNA". It matches the Rfam family "Bacterial small subunit ribosomal RNA", at positions 1 to 218 of the family's 1533-position model. The record is from RNAcentral. Lineage: Bacteria; Pseudomonadati; Pseudomonadota; Gammaproteobacteria; Vibrionales; Vibrionaceae.
AAAUUGAAGAGUUUGAUCAUGGCUCAGAUUGAACGCUGGCGGCAGGCCUAACACAUGCAAGUCGAGCGGAAACGAGUUAACUGAACCUUCGGGGGACGUUAACGGCGUCGAGCGGCGGACGGGUGAGUAAUGCCUAGGAAAUUGCCCUGAUGUGGGGGAUAACCAUUGGAAACGAUGGCUAAUACCGCAUGAUGCCUACGGGCCAAAGAGGGGGACCUUC